RNAcentral lists this unclassified non-coding RNA (328 nucleotides) under soil metagenome. Its description in RNAcentral is "partial contains 5.8S ribosomal RNA, internal transcribed spacer 2, and large subunit ribosomal RNA". The stretch from base 2 to 119 matches the Rfam family "5.8S ribosomal RNA", at positions 37 to 154 of the family's 154-position model. The record is from RNAcentral.
GUGAAGAACGUAGCGAAAUGCGAUAAGUAAUGUGAAUUGCAGAAUUCAGUGAAUCAUCGAAUCUUUGAACGCACAUUGCGCCCUCUGGUAUUCCGGGGGGCAUGCCUGUUCGAGCGUCAUUAUAACCACUCAAGCUCUCGCUUGGUAUUGGGGCUCGCGGUUCCGCGGCCCCUAAAAUCAGUGGCGGUGCCUGUCGGCUCUACGCGUAGUAAUACUCCUCGCGAUUGAGUCCGGUAGGUCUACUUGCCAGCAACCCCCAAUUUUUACAGGUUGACCUCGGAUCAGGUAGGGAUACCCGCUGAACUUAAGCAUAUCAAUAAGCGGAGGA